RNAcentral lists this microRNA (21 nucleotides) under Arabidopsis thaliana (thale cress). RNAcentral's name for it is "ath-miR5022". Lineage: Eukaryota; Viridiplantae; Streptophyta; Magnoliopsida; Brassicales; Brassicaceae. The record is from miRBase by way of RNAcentral.
GUCAUGGGGUAUGAUCGAAUG